CCAGAUUGACGAUCUCUGCUUCGACAAUGCUGAGAGGAGGUGCAUGGCCGCCGUCAGCUCGUACCGUGAGGAGUCUCGUUAAGUCAGGCAACGAGAGAGACCCACGCCCUUACUUACCAGCGGAUCCCUUCAGGAUGCCGGGCACAUUAAGGGGGCCGCCAGUGAUAAAAUGGAGGAAGGAAAGGAGGACGGUAGGUCCGUAUGCCCCGAAUUCUCUGGGGUACCCGCGGGGUUCAAAGGGUAGGACAAAGGGUUCCAUCCCCGAAAAGGGAAGGUAAUUUUCUAAACCUAGUUUUAGUUUGGAUUGAGGGGUGUAACUUGCCCUCCAGAAAGUGGAAAGCGUAGUAAUUGCGUGCCAUACUCGCGCGGUGAAUAAGUUCCUGCUCCUUGCACCCCCCCCCCGUCCCACCCCCCAAAAAGGGUUUGGAUGAGGCCUUAGUCUAGCGGAUACGGUCGAAUCUAGGUUUUUCGAGGAGGGCGAAGUCGUAACAAGGUAACCAAGGGCGAA
RNAcentral lists this ribosomal RNA (508 nucleotides) under uncultured archaeon. Its description in RNAcentral is "partial 16S ribosomal RNA". It matches the Rfam family "Archaeal small subunit ribosomal RNA", at positions 954 to 1457 of the family's 1478-position model. The record is from RNAcentral.